Molecule: RNA transcript, 2299 nt
Organism: Macadamia integrifolia
Lineage: Eukaryota; Viridiplantae; Streptophyta; Magnoliopsida; Proteales; Proteaceae
Gene name: putative exosome complex component rrp40
Exons: 3
Source: RefSeq, a predicted model, not a curated record
CACACCAGAGUUCACAUACUUCUAAGUUCAAUUUGUAGUUGUGCUGCCACUCCAUCUCUUAUCAAGUGGUCUAUUUACUUUGUUUUUCAGGUAGGUUCAUUGCUUUAUGUACGUGUGGUCAAAGCUAGUGCUGGCAUGAAUCCUGAGCUCUCAGGUCUGAUUAGUUUGUGACCAUUAUUCUAAAUAAUAAUAUCUUGUGUUCUAUGUGCAAUAGCCAGUGGUAAAGCAGCAGAGUUUGGCAUACUGAAAGAGGGGUACAUGUUUGAAACAUCAACUGGUCUCUCACGAAGGCUUCUCUGCUCUCCAACAUGUCCUGUUCUUGAGGCUCUUGGCAAGAAGCUAUCAUUUGAAAUAGCUGUUGGGUUAAAUGGCCGUGUUUGGGUGGAAAAGUAUAUACAUUGUGUGCAAUAAUCUUGAGAUGGAGCGUCAAAUUUGUUAUGGUGCCAAUGCAAAGGUUCAUCUAUCUAACCCACAGUUUUGAUUAGUGACACCAUCCUCCAACAAGACUCGAGUGGAACCGCCUGUUUUGCUAAGCAUAUGAAUACAUCUGUCCUAAAGGAGAGGAGUAACCUUAUUUGGGAUGGGUUUCUACCAUGCCAUGACCCAAGCUCCUCACCACAUCUCCCAGAACGCUGUGAGAAAAUGCCAUGAAUCUCCAAGAAACUCCAUGGAAUCCUCUAAAACAUCAAGAUCUGCAACUUGAACUUCAAGACCAUGAAACCUGAAAAUAUGCAGCCUUAAAACCAUGAAACUCUAAACCUUAAUCAUUGAUUGUCUAACCAUGAACCUUAAGCCAUGAAUUGUGAACCCCUGAAACAUGAAACAAUGUAGAACAAUGAAAUCUGAAACCCAGAAUCUCUUCAAACUUGAUUGAACCCCAGAUGUGAACAGGAACCGUCAAGAAACCAGAGAAAAAUUUCCAUAAAGAUCAGUCAUAUGAUUGAGAUAGGCUAUCAAAUUUGACACUCGGACUAUUUUUUCCAUUAUCCAUCUUUGUAAUUAGUUAGAUUCCCGAAUAGUCAGUCAACACUCGACAUGGCUUCUGGGUCUUGGUGUGAUGGGACACUUUUUUAUGCAAAAUGGCUGUUACCCCAAGCAUUGAAAAUCCCAUGAAUUUGAAAGUUAUCCUGUUGCUAACCCUAGGAUUGCCAUAUAAACCAUGCUUUGCUAUUGAAAUAAUAUCCAGUCAUAUCAGUUUGCUUUGGAAUUUAGGUGAAUGCUGGCUCUGCUUCCACAGUAAUCCUUGCUGCAAAUGCAAUCGUGAACUCGGAGUCUCUCAGCAGCACGAAACAAAAAAUCAUGGUGGAAAAACUCCUCCAGAGAUUUCAGUAAUGCCAAGUAAGUCAGUCCACUGAAAAUUAUUUCCCUCUCAGCUCCUCUUAUAAUCCUUCCGAGAGUUCCAUGGAGUUGUAUCACUGGUGUCCUCAUGACUUUCAAGUUUGUAUAUGCUGGUUUGGUCUCCUUGGUAUCGCAUCCUUCACAAUUCUUGCAAUACUGCAUUUGCUGUUGAUAAAGGUAAUUUCCUACAUUCUUUACAUUUAUUUAUUUUUUUUAUUUUUUACUAUUUAUGGAUUGGUCUUUAGGCCGCAUUUAGUUGUCUAGUUUCUAAACAAAACUGGUGCAGAAAUUCUCAUUUUAAAACCAUACCCAAGGGGGUCUACUAGUGUGGUAUGUUUCAGCCCAAGCUGAUUUGUUCAUGGGUGGCAUAACCUAUCCAAUUGUUGGGUUUGCAGAUACCAGCCUGUCUUCACGUGGCUCAAAACGAUUCGUUGUCAAAGAUGAACUCUUUAACUGACCAUUAAGUGGAGAUUUUAUUAAUUUUAAAGUCUCAUUUUAAUGGUUUUGUUUGUUCUAAAAUUUUUCAUGUAAAUAAUAUUUUAUAUUUAAUUUUUUUUCCCCCCCAAUGUUUCUCUUAUUGAAAAAUCUUAUUUUAUAGGAAAAAUUUUCUUUUCCAUAGAAACAGAUGGAGCUUACAUGCAUAAGUUGAUCAGGCCAAAGCUAGAGAUCAAAAAAUGAUCACUGUCUUGAAGUGUCCAAAAAGUUGAGCUCCAACUGCAUUGUUGGUGUGGCAAAUAAUAGAAUAGAUGCAAGUUUGGAUGUGCAAUUUCACAAGCCUUUAUCUGCCAUGUGGCCUGCCAUUUGACAAAUCUGGACUGUCGAAUAGAAAGUGUACCAUGAAUUGGUCAAGUGUCAAAUUUGAUUCUUGUUCAAUCAUAUGGUAGACUGUGUAUUAAGACAAUAUCCCUUUUAUUCUUAACAAUUUGAAUGUCUUUUUUUAUAUAUAUAUUUUUUUGUUUAA